RNAcentral lists this ribosomal RNA (253 nucleotides) under uncultured bacterium. RNAcentral's name for it is "partial 16S ribosomal RNA". It matches the Rfam family "Bacterial small subunit ribosomal RNA", at positions 524 to 776 of the family's 1533-position model. The record is from RNAcentral.
UACGUAGGGGGCAAGCGUUAUCCGGAAUUACUGGGUGUAAAGGGAGAGUAGGCGGUAAGGUAAGCGAUAUGUGAAAGCCUUAGGCUUAACCUGAGGAUUGCAUAACGAACUAUCUAGCUAGAGUACAGGAGAGGAAAGCGGAAUUCCUAGUGUAGCGGUGAAAUGCGUAGAUAUUAGGAAGAACACCAGUGGCGAAGGCGGCUUUCUGGACUGAAACUGACGCUGAGGCUCGAAAGCGUGGGGAGCGAACAGG